CCUGCCUGGUGGAGGAGCUGAUGGAGGCCCUUCCUGAUGGAGGCCCUGCCUGGUGGAGGAGCUGAUGGAGGUCCUGCCUGGUGAAGGGGCUGAUGGAGGAGGAGCUGGUGGAGGUCCUGCCUGGUGGAGACCCUGCCUGGUAGAGGAUGUCUGUCGUGAGCAGGACUUUCGCUGUUUGUUCCAGACCAGGACUCGUCCGAGGAGAGUUGAUGGUUGAGCUGAGACGCUGGAGGACGACUAGGAAUCGACCAACAAGGAUUCCUCAUAAGUUUGCAUUUACUUAACAUUGUUGACUUAAAGGGCAAAAUACAGCGGUUACUUUGAAAUGCGUUAACAAACUACCGCUGUUUUCUUACUAGAACGUGUUUCUGGAGCGGAGGCGAGCUGACAGGGGAGCCGUGAAUCUGGAGGAUGACCAUCACUCUACCAACAAGGAUUGCGUUGGGGCCAGACUUGCGCUGUUUGUUCGAGACCAGGACUCUGGCAGAGCAGAGCUGAUGGAGGAGCCAAGACUCUGGAGGACGACAUCACUCUACCAACUAGGAUCCUC
Molecule: long non-coding RNA, 550 nt
Organism: Gadus morhua (Atlantic cod)
Lineage: Eukaryota; Metazoa; Chordata; Actinopteri; Gadiformes; Gadidae
Exons: 3
Source: RefSeq, a predicted model, not a curated record